Ameiurus melas (black bullhead) is the source of this 74-nucleotide non-coding RNA. NCBI's taxonomy places the organism in Eukaryota, Metazoa, Chordata, Actinopteri, Siluriformes, Ictaluridae. The record is from the annotation of a GenBank genome assembly.
UCCUCGUUAGUAUAGUGGACAGUAUCUCCGCCUAUCGCACGCGGAAGACCCGGGGUUCGAUUCCCGACCAGGGA